AAGUCGUAACAAGGUUUCCGUAGGUGAACCUGCGGAAGGAUCAUUAACACGUAUCCAAACGUUAAACCCCCCCCGUGAACCUUCAUCCUGCUCUUGUAACCCGCGUAGUUCGCAAUCUCUGAUAAAUCAUAGCCCGGAAAGUUGUAGUGAUUCAGAGACCUCUGGCUACGUGCGAACAUUGAAACAGUUACAAUCGAGCGGUAGUUCUAUACAUUGGGUAAAAAAACCGAACAACUGUUAACAAUGGAUAUCUUGGUUCUC
RNAcentral lists this unclassified non-coding RNA (261 nucleotides) under fungal sp. Its description in RNAcentral is "partial internal transcribed spacer region". The stretch from base 1 to 46 matches the Rfam family "Eukaryotic small subunit ribosomal RNA", at positions 1786 to 1831 of the family's 1831-position model. The record is from RNAcentral. Lineage: Eukaryota; Fungi.